This 450-nucleotide ribosomal RNA is filed under the name uncultured bacterium. RNAcentral's name for it is "partial 16S ribosomal RNA". It matches the Rfam family "Bacterial small subunit ribosomal RNA", at positions 338 to 795 of the family's 1533-position model. The record is from RNAcentral.
CCUACGGGGGGCUGCAGUAAGGAAUAUUGGUCAAUGGACGCAAGUCUGAACCAGCCAUGCCGCGUGGAGGAUGAAGGUCCUCUGGAUUGUAAACUUCUUUUAUUUGGGAAGAAACUCCCGAUUUCCAUCGGGAUUGACGGUACCAGCUGAAUAAGCACCGGCUAACUCCGUGCCAGCAGCCGCGGUAAUACGGAGGGUGCAAGCUUUAUCGGGAUGCACUGGUGCUUAGGGGUGCAUGGAUGGGCGGGGUGAAAUCUCCGGGCUUAACCCGGAAACGGCCAUUGAUACUAUUGGUCUUGAAUACUCUGGAGGUGAGCGGAAUAUGUCAUGUAGCGGUGAAAUGCUUAGAUAUGACAUAGAACACCCAUUGCGAAGGCAGCUCACUACGGAAAUAUUGACGCUGAGGCACGAAAGCGUGGGGAUCAAACAGGAUUAGAUACCCCAGUAGUC